UUAGGAGAGUCAUAAUGGGUGUCCUAUCAAAGUUAAAAAUUCAGGUUAGAGGCAAUUACAAAGAGAGAGUAGUAGUAGUAGUAGUAGUAGUACAUAGGACAGGCAGUGUACAACUACCCUUAUCAUUCAUUCCUUUGGAGAAUGGACCCUUUUCUUUCUAUAAAUAGAGCUGGGUACGGGCACUCUCUUAUAGCUCAUAGAUCUCUUAGCACUUCUCUCUCUCUCUCUUUCUGUGUUUUUUGUUUUUCCUUUUAAAGAAACCUUAUUAAGUUUCUUUUAUGCAUAUACUAUAGCAGGGAGAGAGAGAGGAAUGGUGAUGUUGUUGACAGAAGAUAGAGAGCACAGAUGAUGAUAUGCAAUAAUGGACUCUGCAUCUCACUCCUUUGUGCUCUCUAUGCUUCUGUCAUCACCUCUUCUCUCACCCCUUACUUCUUCUUCUUCUUUAACACCAGAUUAGCAUGAUUUCUUUUUUUUUUUUUAAAGUUUGCUUUAUAUUUUGUACUAUUUAAUUAAUUAUUGCUUUGUUUAGUUCAGUACAGCAGCUAACAAAAAUGUUACAGAACAAGGGCAUGAUUCUUUAUGGAAAAGAAAAAUGAAAAUCAAAGGGAAGGCAAAGUGAAGUAUAUCAGGCAAGAAAUUGGGUGCUAAAUUGAUUUCCCAUCAAUGGGGUGUGAUUUUUAUUUUUUAUUUUUUACUUCAUUAUAUUUCUUUUCUUAUAUAUAAUAUUUAUCUAUAUGGCUCUCCAAAUGGGAAAUCAAAGUUCUUUUGAUUUAGUUUUAUGCUAAAAAUUUUUGUGUUUUAAUUUGAUCAACCAGCUAAAAAUUACGGAACAGUUCUCUUUCUUCUUUCUCUCGUGAUUUACAGAAAAAUGCUCGUAAUGAAUAUUUAUUCUAUUUUUGAAGAUGAAACUCUAGAAGGAAGACUCAUACCAACACUUAUUGAUAAAAUAAAUAAGAGUUAGUUAGCAAAGGACGUAUCAAUUUCAAACACUUACUCCUAUUAAAAUCUCACUAACAGACAAAGAAAAUCUAUAUAGAAUUUCUCUCAAUUUCUUUUGUUAAUGCUUUCAAUUUCAAAGUUAAGAUUAAUAGUUUAAGACAAGUGCUAAGUGUCUCUAUUUAUAGAUUUUAAAUUGAAUGCUUAGCUAUGUUCAAUUACUUGUAAUUAUCUAAUAGUUGCAGUGCUUAAUGUUAUAUUUGAUACAAUAUUUUGACUUGUAUUUUCAUGAGCAAUAAGGAAGGAUAUUGCCGGCGGGUCGGCUUGCCGGGAUAUGGAACGGGAAAUGCCAGGAGCAACACUAAAUCUCAGGGCUGAUCAGAAAUUUCUUUGGAUAUCGUGAUGGAUAAAGUAGUGGUUCAAUCAAAUAAAUUAAUGUUUUAUAAUAUGUUUCUUAUAAGAGUUUUGGAUACUCAUUUUCACUAACUUUUUAGAUGAGUUAAGUUUGAUCUAAAUUUAACAUGCUAUUAAACCUCUAUCAAUACUGAAUUUUUCAUAUGUUAUGCUUUAAUAUAGUUUUGAACGUGAAUGUAUACAAAAAAAUUUCAACUGCUAUAUCUUUUUCGAUAAGAAACUGUUAUUAUUAUUAUAUACUGUGUAAUUUUUUAUGAAGUAAUUUGAAAUAAAAUCUAUGUAUUUAAUUUGAGUUUCUGAAUUUUCUAGAGAUGAAAAAAAUAACUAAAAUUAAG
This 1685-nucleotide long non-coding RNA is filed under the name Manihot esculenta (cassava). Its description in RNAcentral is "long non-coding RNA (MESC_LNC000060)". The record is from RNAcentral. Lineage: Eukaryota; Viridiplantae; Streptophyta; Magnoliopsida; Malpighiales; Euphorbiaceae.